This is a long non-coding RNA of Ziziphus jujuba (common jujube), 204 nucleotides long. RefSeq lists it as uncharacterized. Lineage: Eukaryota; Viridiplantae; Streptophyta; Magnoliopsida; Rosales; Rhamnaceae. The record is from RefSeq and is a predicted model, not a curated record. The transcript is spliced from 2 exons.
CCUCUCCAGGAAUUGGAUGCUUGAAAAUUAAAAAGGAAAUCUCUUGCUCUCUGCCAGUCUGCCUUGCCUUCGUCUCUCGUCUCUUUCCACCUCUCCAGGAACUUUUCUAAGAUCUAGCCAGUGGUAUUUGAAGAGAAGGGUACCAUUCGAGCUUCAAUGGUAGUUUCUUAACAUCACUGUGAGUUUCUUUCUCUCUCUCUCUCU